GCUUUAUGAGGUUGAAACGUGAUUAAAACAUUACAGAGUUGAGGCCGAUAACAGCAGACAUAUAUAAAUAAUACUAUAAAUAAAGAGCAAUGUGGAUGAUAAUAAAACAGACGAGACGUGUUGAAAUAAAUCAGCGUGGUGGCAGCAUUAAUAAAAGACUUCCUGCUGAUUUAAAAGAUGUCAGUGAUUGUGCCGCCUCAGAACAACACUGAACAUUUCCCUCAUUUGAUUCCAGGACGACAAACAGUGAAAUGUGACAGACUGAGAUAUAUACAGACUGAACAGUGUGAUAUGAGCUCACUGGAUACACAACAGCUGUGGUUUCUUUUCACCAGCAGAGGGCGGCAACGUCCUCCAGCUCCAGCAGAAUAAUGCUGAGUAAAGAGCCAGAAAACUCAGAAAGUGCUGAGAAAUACUUCAAGCUGAGGCUUCACACUAAUAUAUGAUUUUUACUAUAAUAAACUUUAUUUAAACACAGAGUUUACAAAGUGCUCUGACAGUCAAGCAAAAUCAAGAAUGUUACAGAAUAAACGCUGAACAGUCAAAGCAAAAACGUUCAGCAUGAGUCAUUACAAAAGGAAUAACAGAGAUUAAAAAAGGCAAAAUCACAGAAAAGGAAAGAAAAACGUGAUGCAAAUAAAGAGAUAAAUAAAAGAAUAGGACCAAUAAAAGACGAUAAGAAGACGACAUCACAUCACAGGAAUCAAGAGCAGAUUUAUGUAUAUAGAGUAUAUAUUUCAAAUAUAAUAAUAAAAUGAAUGAUCUCUUUGUUUUUACUUGUUUUUGGCAGUAAAAGUUAAAUAUCCCCACUGAUCCAUAUUGACCGACCACCCCCCUGUAUCUGCAUGAAAUGGUUUGGUCCUGCCUUAGCUCACUUAUCAGUGACGUGUUUAGUUGCAGUCAGCACACGCGCCAAAACUACAGUGAUCACAAUGUUGCUUCAAUCAAAAUGUGGUUUUCUAAAAAGGAAAGAGAGGAAAGAGAGAGAGGAAAGACAAAGGAAAGGGUUUUCAAUCUGUAACCCAGUUUUUCACCAAGAAAGAUAGAGACUGAGCCGAUGCCCAGCUGGUUACUGAACCGCCCAGAUGUUACCAACAUUAAUGAACUGACUCAUGAACUCAUUAAAACUCUGGAUUGUACAAGUAGAUUUGUGCUCUCAGGAUCACAUGUGAAGCAGCAUCCUGAGACCUUCAGGGGGGAUUUGAGGGUUUCAAAAAUGUGACUGACCAGGUGGUCAAAACUCCUCUGUGGUCUCUCUUCUCCACCUCGUUCCCUCGGAGGCGUCUGCCAUCGAGUUUUUCUUCUCCUGGAUUCUUUUGGGCCCGACAGCUGCUGAGAGCUGCCAGAUGUAUUUCCAGCAGGCCCAGAGAACUUCUCCUCACAGCAGCGAUGCAAGAUCCUGCUAGUAUUCCAGAUCAGUCAGCGCCGGAGCUGCGACGCAGAGCUGACCAGCUAACUACACAAUCCAAAGAACAAGUUAGCACCGAGCUGCUGUCCCUGCAAAGGAAAGGACGGCCAGUUUCCUCCACCUGCUGUUUUUCAUCAGACUGCUGCUUUAUCUUCACUGUUUCACUUCAGUUUCAGCACAAAUGAACAAUAAAUGAUAAAUAUUAUAUAUAUGA
Acanthopagrus latus (yellowfin seabream) is the source of this 1622-nucleotide long non-coding RNA. RefSeq lists it as uncharacterized. The record is from RefSeq and is a predicted model, not a curated record. The transcript has 2 exons. NCBI's taxonomy places the organism in Eukaryota, Metazoa, Chordata, Actinopteri, Spariformes, Sparidae.